This 326-nucleotide ribosomal RNA is filed under the name uncultured eukaryote. Its description in RNAcentral is "partial 18S ribosomal RNA". It matches the Rfam family "Eukaryotic small subunit ribosomal RNA", at positions 1470 to 1796 of the family's 1831-position model. The record is from RNAcentral.
CCCUUAGAUGUCCUGGGCCGCACGCGCGCUACACUGAACGGAUCAGCGCGUUUUCCCUUCCCGAGAGGGACGGGUAACCUGCUGAACCCCGUUCGUGGUAGGGAUCGGGGCUUGCAAUUAUUCCCCGUGAACCAGGAAUGCCCAGUAAGUGCAAGUCAUAAGCUUGCGUUGAUUACGUCCCUGCCCUUUGUACACACCGCCCGUCGCUACUACCGAUUGAACGUUUUAGUGAGGUACUCGGACUGAGCCACAGAAGAUUCACGUCUUUUGUGCUGCUCGGGAAGAUUCCCAAACUUGAGCGUUUAGAGGAAGUAAAAGUCGUANCA